UGUUUUCAACCCUCUAUGAUACAAAAUCCAUUUGAAUUGUUGCUGUCUUUGAAACAAGUAGGUACUGUAGAUGAGUAUGUAGAGGAAUUCGAGAGAUAUGCUGGGGCUUUGAAGGAAAUUGACCAUGACUUUGUUAGAGGUAUAUUCCUUAAUGGUCUGAAAGAUGAAAUUAAGGCUGAGGUUAGGUUGUUUGAGUUAGGUACAUUGGCUGAGGUAAUUCAGCAGGCUUUGCUUAUUGAACAAAGGAAUUUGAUAGUGACUAAGAAAGGAGCGCCAGGGUUUCCUAGAUCCUUUAAUUCUUACAAGAGCAACAGUUAUAGUAAAGUAGUAACUGUGGAGCCCCAAGCUAGCUCUAACAGUGAUCAUAAAAGUGAAGGCUCCUCUGUGGGAAGUGGGGGAAUUACCUCCAGAAAUCAGACAGGGGCUGAAAGUCUCAGGAGCAGAGGUAGUGAAUUUAAGCGCUUGACUGGGGCAGAGAUGAGAGAAAAGAGGGAAAAGAACUUGUGCUUCCGAUGUGAUGAACCUUAUAGCAGGGAUCACAAGUGCAGAAACAAACAAUUGAGAAUGAUCAUCAUGGAAGAUGAGGAAGAAGGAGAUGGAGUGGAGUUUUUGGAUGCACUUUCUGGAGAACUAAACUCACUCCAGAUGUCUCUUUGUUCUAUGACUGGUCUCACCUCCACUAAGUCAUGGAAGAUGAGAGGGGAGAUAGGAAAGCACAUUGUCCUCGUACUCAUAGACUGUGGGGCUUCUGAUAAGUAUAGACCUUUAAUUAGGAAGGUCUAUGUUAGGAGGAAGAGGGGAGUAGCAGGGAAUAAUAACCCUGUAACUGACUCCAACUGAUCUAAGGGGAGGUUAGGAUUCUGUUAUUCUGUUAGCACUCUGUAACUGACAACUACCUACUAUAAAGGUUAGUUAGCAAGGUAGUUAGAAUCACUUUUGGGUUGUUAGGAAUAGUGGAGAGUCUGGUCUCUCGAAUAACCAGUGGUUUUCUCUGUAAGAUUGUGAAUUUCCUCUGUAUCUUCUUGGUUUCAGAGAGAGUUUCCAAUACAAUUCUUCCCAGUUUUCUCUUGAGUUUAUCAUUGGUAUCAGAGCUCCAUCCAGGAGCUGUGGUAUCGAAUUUCUAUGGUCAAGAGCAGAAUGGAGGCAAGAAUCGAGAAUGUGGAGCGCAACAUGGAGCGGAUCUUGGAGGUUCUGGAUCGGAACCGCGAGGAAGAUCGAAGGAAUCGCGAUGCAAACCGAGCAGGAGAUGAAGAACAAUUGAGGCAAGUGGAGGCGCGAUUGGAAGGGUUGUCGUGCAACCGUGAGGAGGAGGAGGCGACGCAAGCGACGCCGGAGACGACAACGGUGCAAGACGCGGAGACGACGGCGCAAGGUGCGAAUCGCUGGCGCAAGAUGGAAAUUCCAGUCUAUGAUGGAAGUGAAGAUGCGUUUGGCUGGGUCAACAAACUGGAAAGGUAUUUUCGCAUCAAGUGAGCGAUGGAGGAAGAGAAGCUACAAGUGGUGGUGGUAGCUUUGGAUGGAAGAGCGUUAAGCUGGUUUCAAUGGUGGGAACCUUGUCACCUGCAAGCGUCUUGGGAGAAAUUCAAACGUGCGAUCUUGGAGAGGUUUCGGUCCUCGGUUUCGCAGAGUCCGUUUGCAGCGUUGCUAGCGCUGAAACAGGGUGGCAGCGUCGCGGAAUUCGUGGAGCAAUUCGAAAGAUUUGCUGGAAUGAUGAAAGGUGUGGAAGAAGAUCACCCGAGAGAGGUUUUCCUCAACGGAUUGAAGGAGGAAUUAGCGGCAGAGGUGAAGCUUUAUGAACCAAAGACUCUGACAGAGUUGGUCAAGAAAGCGUUAAUGGUGGAGCAGAAGAACAGUGCAGUUCAGAGAGCGGGUACUGGUGGUUGGGGGGAAGAACGGGCUCUAAUUUUCGGAGUUUUCCUCCGUCUAGAUCGGUGGUGAUGGACACAGGGCAGAGGAACCCGUUGCGACCUACAAAUUCAACAGCGGCAGUGAGCAAUCCAGCACCAGCAGUUGGGACUGGUUCAGGGGACAAAGGUUUACCAAGGUUGAGACCUACUGGUUUUCGUACGUUAUCUGAGGCAGAGAUGCAAGAGAAGAUUAGGAAAGGGGAGUGUUUCAGGUGUGAGGAAAAGUUUGGCUCAAACCAUGUUUGCAAGAACAAGCAGCUACGGGUGAUGUUGUUGGGAGAAGAGGAGGUUACAGAUCCAGAACAGGAGGAAAAUCUUGAAUCAGAUACAGACCAAGUUGAGCCACAGCUGUUCCAGUUAUCUCUCAAGAGCAUAGCUGGUUUUACUUCUAGAAGGUCUUUGAAGGUUUGGGGAGAGUUGGGGCAACAUAAAGUCAUUGUUUUGGUGGAUUGUGGUGCUACACACAAUUUUAUUUCACAGAAUUUGGUCAAUUCUUUGCAAUUACCAGUGGCAGAAACUCCUCCCUACAUGGUGGAGGUUGGUGAUGGGCAUAAGGUGAAAUGCCAAAGCAAGUACACAGAUGUACAGCUAAGCAUUCAGGGCAUUCCAAUUACACAGGAGCUUUUCCUCUUUAAUUUGGGGGGUGUGGAUGUGGUUCUAGGACUAGAAUGGUUGGCAAGUUUGGGGAACAUAAAGGCCAAUUUUGAGGAGUUAACUUUGAGGUUUAAAGUAGGGAGCAAGAAGAUGUUGCUGAAGGGUGAACCUGGACUCAUUAGGAAAACUGCUUCUUUAUCUUCCUUGGUCAAGACUCUACAACAAGCUGAGGGGUUUUGGGUGGAGUUUCAGUAGCUGGCUGAAGUUCCAGAGGAGUCAGUGGCUGUUCCAGUGCAGUUGCAGGGGUUGAUGAAGGGUUACAACGAGUUAUUCACUGCCAUACAGGACUUACCCCCCAGUAGAGUGCAAGAUCAUGCUAUUCACUUGCAAGAGGGAGCUUCCAUACCAAAUAUUCGACCAUACAGCUGCUGUUGGAGUAGCAAAACAUGAGACAUGGCGUAGAAAGGCUAUAUGGAACCGUGUGAAAGACUUUCAUUUACUUACAGGAAUCCCUGUUACAAGUCCCAUCAUAUCUCUAAUAGUAGGCAGUGAAGACAAAGCA
RNA transcript from Lotus japonicus, 3063 nucleotides. It is a transcript of the gene named 8-amino-7-oxononanoate synthase-like, with no coding region annotated. The transcript is spliced from 2 exons. NCBI's taxonomy places the organism in Eukaryota, Viridiplantae, Streptophyta, Magnoliopsida, Fabales, Fabaceae. The record is from RefSeq and is a predicted model, not a curated record.